AACCUGAACCCUUUUCGAAUUCAAGUUGGUU
This 31-nucleotide ribosomal RNA is filed under the name Trieres regia. Lineage: Eukaryota; Bacillariophyta; Thalassiosirophyceae; Eupodiscales; Parodontellaceae. The record is from RNAcentral.